GUGCCAGCAGCCGCGGUAAUACGGAAGGUCCGGGCGUUAUCCGGAUUUAUUGGGUUUAAAGGGAGCGCAGGCGGGAGAUUAAGCGUGACGUGAAAUGUAGCCGCUCAACGGCUGAUGUGCGUCGCGAACUGGUUUUCUUGAGUGGGUACGACGGAGGCGGAAUUCGUGGUGUAGCGGUGAAAUGCUUAGAUAUCACGAAGAACCCCGAUUGCGAAGCAGCCUCCGAGUCCUCUACUGACGCUAAUGCUCGAAAGUGCGGGUAUCGAACAGGAUUAGAUACCCUGGUAGUCCGCACGGUAAACGAUGGAUGCCCGCUGUUGGCGACACACUGUCAGCGGCCAAGCGAAAGCGUUAAGCAUCCCACCUGGGGAGUACGCCGGCAACGGUGAAACUCAAAGGAAUUGACGGGGGCCCGCACAAGCGGAGGAACAUGUGGUUUAAUUCGAUGAUACGCGAGGAACCUUACCCGGGCUUGAACUGCAGCGGAACGAUUCAGAGAUGAUGAGGUCCUUCGGGACCGCUGUGGAGGUGCUGCAUGGUUGUCGUCAGCUCGUGCCGUGAGGUGUCGGCUUAAGUGCCAUAACGAGCGCAACCCCUUUCUUCAGUUGCCAUCAGUUUUAGCUGGGCACUCUGGAGACACUGCCACCGUAAGGUGCGAGGAAGGUGGGGAUGACGUCAAAUCAGCACGGCCCUUACGUCCGGGGCUACACACGUGUUACAAUGGGUGGUACAGAGAGCUGCCGUCCGCAAGGCCGGCCGAAUCAUGAAAGCCAUCCUCAGUUCGGAUUGGGGUCUGCAACCCGACCCCAUGAAGCUGGAUUCGCUAGUAAUCGCGCAUCAGCCAUGGCGCGGUGAAUACGUUCCCGGGCCUUGUACACACCGCCCGU
RNAcentral lists this ribosomal RNA (887 nucleotides) under uncultured bacterium. RNAcentral's name for it is "bacterial SSU rRNA". It matches the Rfam family "Bacterial small subunit ribosomal RNA", at positions 505 to 1397 of the family's 1533-position model. The record is from RNAcentral.